This 100-nucleotide small nucleolar RNA is filed under the name Olea europaea subsp. europaea. The record is from RNAcentral. Lineage: Eukaryota; Viridiplantae; Streptophyta; Magnoliopsida; Lamiales; Oleaceae.
UGUUAGCACUGAUGAUAAGCUUUAAUCCCAGCAAAUUAUGAGACCUUAGCUGUGUAAGGUCUGAGAAAAUACUCCAUCUUACAUCAUUCUGAGCUUCACA